AACAUCGCCUCUGUUUAAUAUAAGAGUCCAGCCUGCCCAGUGAAAAAAAUUAACGGCCGCGGUAUCCUAACCGUGCGAAGGUAGCGUAAUCACUUGUUCUUUAAAUCAGGACUAGUAUGAAUGGCACCACGAAGGUUAUACUGUCUCCCCUUNUUAAUCAGUGAAACUAAUCUCCCCGUGAAGAAGCGGGAAUAAAACUAUAAGACGAGAAGACCCUAUGGAGCUUUAGACUACAUAACAAUUGUUAUCUAUUUAUUUAUUCCCCCGGGAACUCAAUUAUAUUUAUUCAUAUUGAUUACUAGUCUUAGGUUGGGGUGACCGCGGAGUAAAAUAUAACCUCCAUGAUGAAAGAAACUUAAUUUCUUAACCCAGAGUUACAACUCUAAGUACCAAAAAUUUGACAUAAAUUGACCCAAUAAUUUGAUCAACGAACCAAGUUACCCUAGGGAUAACAGCGCANUCUACUUCNAGAGUCCCUAUCGACAAGUAGGUUUACGACCUCGAUGUUGGAUCAGGUAUCUAGUGGUGCAGCGCUACUAAAGGUUCGUUUGUUCACGAUUAAAACCCUACGUG
Molecule: ribosomal RNA, 573 nt
Filed under: Physalaemus cuvieri (barker frog)
Lineage: Eukaryota; Metazoa; Chordata; Amphibia; Anura; Leptodactylidae
Description: partial large subunit ribosomal RNA
Rfam family: Bacterial large subunit ribosomal RNA
Source: RNAcentral